This 253-nucleotide ribosomal RNA is filed under the name uncultured bacterium. RNAcentral's name for it is "partial 16S ribosomal RNA". It matches the Rfam family "Bacterial small subunit ribosomal RNA", at positions 524 to 776 of the family's 1533-position model. The record is from RNAcentral.
UACGUAGGGUGCGAGCGUUAAUCGGAAUUACUGGGCGUAAAGCGUGCGCAGGCGGUUUGUUAUGUCCGAUGUGAAAGCCCCGGGCUCAACCUGGGAAUUGCAUUGGAAACUAGCGGGCUGGAGUGUGGCAGAGGGGGGUGGAAUUCCACGUGUAGCAGUGAAAUGCGUAGAGAUGUGGAGGAACACCGAUGGCGAAGGCAGCCCCCUGGGCUAACACUGACGCUCAUGCACGAAAGCGUGGGGAGCAAACAGG